GAUGAACGCUGGCGGCGUGCCUAAUACAUGCAAGUCGAGCGAACGGACGAGAAGCUUGCUUCUCUGUUGUUAGCGGCGGACGGGUGAGUAACACGUGGAUAACCUACCUAUAAGACUGGGAUAACUUCGGGAAACCGGAGCUAAUACCGGAUAAUAUUUUGAACCGCAUGGUUCAAAAGAGAAAGACGGUCUAGCUGUUACUUCUAGAUGGAUCCGCGCUGCAUUAGCUAGUUGGUAGGGUAACGGCUUACCAAGGCAACGAUGCAUAGCCGACCUGAGAGGGUGAUCGGCCACACUGGAACUGAGACACGGUCCAGUCUCCUACGGGAGGCAGCAGUAGGGAAUCGUCCGCGAUGGGCGAAAGCCUGACGGAGCAACGCCGCGUGAGUGAUGAAGGUCUUCGGAUCGUAAAACUCUGUUAUUAGGGAAGAACAUAUGUGUAAGUAACUGUGCGCAUCUUGACGGUACCUAAUCAGAGAGCCACGGCUAACUACGUG
This 497-nucleotide ribosomal RNA is filed under the name uncultured bacterium. RNAcentral describes it as "partial 16S ribosomal RNA". It matches the Rfam family "Bacterial small subunit ribosomal RNA", at positions 28 to 507 of the family's 1533-position model. The record is from RNAcentral.